GACGAACGCUGGCGGCGUGCUUAACACAUGCCAGUCGAACGGAAAGGCCCUGCUUUUGUGGGGUGCUCGAGUGGCGAACGGGUGAGUAACACGUGAGUAACCUGCCCUUGACUUUGGGAUAACUUCAGGAAACUGGGGCUAAUACCGGAUAGGAGCUCCUGCUGCAUGGUGGGGGUUGGAAAGUUUCGGCGGUUGGGGAUGGACUCGCGGCUUAUCAGCUUGUUGGUGGGGUAGUGGCUUACCAAGGCUUUGACGGGUAGCCGGCCUGAGGGGGUGACCGGCCACAUUGGGACUGAGAUACGGCCCAGACUCCUACGGGAGGCAGCAGUGGGGAAUAUUGCACAAUGGGCGGAAGCCUGAUGAAGCAACGCCGCGUGCGGGAUGACGGCCUUCGGGUUGUAAACCGCUUUCGCCUGUGACGAAGCGUGAGUGACGGUAAUGGGUAAAGAAGCACCGGCUAACUACGUG
RNAcentral lists this ribosomal RNA (468 nucleotides) under uncultured bacterium. RNAcentral's name for it is "partial 16S ribosomal RNA". It matches the Rfam family "Bacterial small subunit ribosomal RNA", at positions 28 to 507 of the family's 1533-position model. The record is from RNAcentral.